GACAGAGGGGGCAAGCGUUGCUCGGAAUUACUGGGCGUAAAGGGCGCGUAGGCGGGAUGGCAAGUCGGUCGUGAAAUCCUUCGGCUCAACCGAAGAACGUCGAUCGAUACUGCUGUUCUUGAGGGUUGCAGAGGAGACUGGAAUUCCCGGUGUAGUGGUGAAAUGCGUAGAUAUCGGGAGGAACACCAGUGGCGAAGGCGACUACCUGGCCUGUUCUUGACGCUGAGGCGCGAAAGCUAGGGGAGCAAACGGG
Molecule: ribosomal RNA, 253 nt
Filed under: uncultured bacterium
Lineage: Bacteria
Description: partial 16S ribosomal RNA
Rfam family: Bacterial small subunit ribosomal RNA
Source: RNAcentral